AGUGAACGCUGGCGGUAGGCCUAACACAUGCAAGUCGAACGGCAGCACAGUAAGAGCUUGCUCUUACGGGUGGCGAGUGGCGGACGGGUGAGGAAUACAUCGGAAUCUACUUUUUCGUGGGGGAUAACGUAGGGAAACUUACGCUAAUACCGCAUACGACCUACGGGCGAAAGCAGGGGAUCUUCUGACCUUGCGCGAUUGAAUGAGCCGAUGUCGGAUUAGCUAGUUGGCGGGGUAAAGGCCCACCAAGGCGACGAUCCGUAGCUGGUCUGAGAGGAUGAUCAGCCACACUAGAACUGAGACACGGUCCAUGCUCCUACGGGAGGCAGCAGUGGGGAAUAUUGGACAAUGGGCGCAAGCCUGAUCCAGCCAUACCGCGUGGGUGAAGAAGACCUUCGGGUUGUAAAGCCCUUUUGUUGGGAAAGAAAAGCAGCAAGUUAAUACCCCGCUGUUCUGACGGUACCCAAAGAAUAAGCACCGGCUAACUUCGUG
Molecule: ribosomal RNA, 492 nt
Filed under: uncultured bacterium
Lineage: Bacteria
Description: partial 16S ribosomal RNA
Rfam family: Bacterial small subunit ribosomal RNA
Source: RNAcentral